UCGGAAUGAUGAACGGAUACCCAUCUGUUGCCUUCCUACCGAGCCCCUCGCGGGCACUGAUGCUUUCUCUAUUGAGAUAUGUCUGACCGA
Molecule: small nucleolar RNA, 90 nt
Filed under: Chlamydomonas reinhardtii
Lineage: Eukaryota; Viridiplantae; Chlorophyta; Chlorophyceae; Chlamydomonadales; Chlamydomonadaceae
Description: CrCD11a snoRNA
Source: RNAcentral